This is a long non-coding RNA of Solanum stenotomum, 264 nucleotides long. RefSeq lists it as uncharacterized. The transcript is spliced from 3 exons. NCBI's taxonomy places the organism in Eukaryota, Viridiplantae, Streptophyta, Magnoliopsida, Solanales, Solanaceae. The record is from RefSeq and is a predicted model, not a curated record.
GCAGAUCGCAGUCAUCAUAGGUGUCGAGAAAUUACCCUUUGUGACAAUCAGAAAAAACAGUUUCUCUUCACUCUAUGGGAGGAUUUCGGAGAAAUAGAAGGACAUGAAAUUGGCUCAAAAAUGGCAACAGAGGCAGAUCUGCCUGUAAUCCUCGGAAGGAGUAUAGGAAUCUCUACUUAUCAAGGGUUGUCACUGCAGACUAGGUACAACUCCACAGUACGUGUCAAUCUGAAUUACCCACAGGCACUCGCACUCAUCAACUGG